RNAcentral lists this ribosomal RNA (114 nucleotides) under uncultured bacterium. Its description in RNAcentral is "partial 16S ribosomal RNA". It matches the Rfam family "Bacterial small subunit ribosomal RNA", at positions 1360 to 1482 of the family's 1533-position model. The record is from RNAcentral.
CGGUGAAUACGUUCCCGGACCUUGUACACACCGCCCGCCAAGCCAUGGAAGCUGGGUGUACCUAAAGUCGAUAACCGCAAGGAGUCGCCUAGGGUAAAACUAGUAACUGGGGCU